AAGAAAAAAGUGAUGAGUCGGCAUAUUAUAGCUACGUUCAAUCGAAAAUUGAAAAUAAGGUCUGUUUUACAAUUUUUUUAUAUGGUUUUGAAAAAGAAGCAUUCAUUAUACCAAAUCAGAAAUAUUUGAGUUUUCUUGACUUUUUCGGAAGCUGGAAACGAUCAAAGUUGAGUGGUAUUUUUCCUAAUGGGAAAUCUUAUGCAAAAAUGCGCCACGGCCUAUUACUCCAGCGGUCGAAUUUGCGGUUUUGAAACUCAUUUUUUUGUUGCCUUUUCAAGUAAAAAGUAUUAAAAUGAAAUUGGUAAAAUGCAAUUACCCCCUUUUCGGUUGGAAACUUUUCCUUGAGUUCCAGUAAUAUUUGCCAACUUUUCCUUGGGUUCCAGAACAUUCGAGGCCAUGAGCUUCCAGGUAAUAUCAAUUUUUGUCCUCUUGAUUUCGGCAAUUCCCCCAUUUUUUCUUUAAUAAUUCAAUUACCUCAUAGCGUUUGAUUUGUUUUUCUGUCUUAAAAUUCAAACAAUUUGGUCGUUUAAACAGAUUGUUCUUUUGGGUGGCUCACCACCCUAGUGAAACUAGCCUUUUCACUCAUUUUGCAAGACACGUCCGCACGCCAGCCUAACUCGCAACGAAUCCCGUGGACUGGCGACCUAUUAAUGUUGCGGUUCUUGUAUAUCGUUAACGACCACUUGCGCUCGUUGUCGUUGGACAGAUAAAAUUCUUUUUACAAUACUGUUACAGACUGUGUAACUUACAGUUAAAUUAUAUUUCGUACGUUUACGCGGUAAAAAGUACAGCAUAUUAUUCACCUAGCAUAAAGAAUUCUUCUGAAUCUGGUUUUCUUUUUCAACAGUGCACUCUUUAUGAUACUGUUUCCUACAAAGCAGUCUAUUCUGUUGGUAGCUACAUUGACUUGGGUAAAGAUAUGAUAGCCAUUUGCUUGUGGGAAAAAAUUCUAGUUUUAUUUGGAUAUGUACAUUUGUGAUGAUAAAGCAGGUUGCAGUUUUGGUACCACGCCUAAACUUUUGCACGAAUUAAAAUUCACAUUCUAUUUGAUUAAGUUAACAAUAAUGUAAAAGUGUGUGAUGUAUAGUCAUGUAGAAGCAUUUUAUCUGAUGAAGUGGUAUAGGUGAAGAUCCUAGUCCACUAGCAAUAGGUAUUGAGCCUUUCCAGCUUGAACCUGUACUUCCAGCAAGUGUUGGGGAAGUAGACAGGCCAAGUUUACCUACCAUGGAAAACAAGUCAAGCUGAGCAAAUCAACAACACGAUUUGG
Non-coding RNA from Ciona intestinalis (vase tunicate), 1267 nucleotides. Lineage: Eukaryota; Metazoa; Chordata; Ascidiacea; Phlebobranchia; Cionidae. The record is from RefSeq and is a predicted model, not a curated record.